AACAGAUGCUCAACACGCUUUUUUUCACUGUCACUGACAUCCUGAGAAAAAACAACCCAACAAAAACUGAUGAAAACUGUGCUAUCACAGCAAUGGUUGUUGGGUAUCUGGUGACAUCUGAACCAAGAUUUGUCCAACUGAGAGGCAGAUGUUGUCACUAAGAGUACAAGGAAACAUCAAAGAUGACUUAAACAACUGAGCUUCUGCAAAAGUAACUCAAGUAACUGGCUUCAAAAUUAACUCACUGCUAUUUGAACAAACUAUUUUCAUUGGAAGAAACAUUUGCUAAGACAAUUGGAAUGAGCACAUGUUUACAAACCUGAAACCGAAUGGUUAGAAAGGUGGUGAAAAACAACAACUGACCAUAUGCACUGACUUGGGAGAUACCAGAUUUACAUCACUAAAGAUUUACAAUACAGCCACCAUGGUAAACAGACAGCCACAAGCUAACUUGGACAUCACCAAACUAAUCUCAGAAGUCACCAUUACCUAACCAAUAUUGAGGAACAGGAGUAGCAUGAGUAUAGUAAUUGCGCAAAUGAAUUGCGACAAAGAGAUGCUCUUGACUUCUCAGCGAGCUGCGAGGACUCUGUUCCAGGAUUUUGAAGCAAACUGGCCAUCUGGUGUAGGUGUACAGGAGAGUAAAUGAAAAACAAAUGAAGAUGGUCAGCAGCAUUCUCACCAGUAAGAAUCCAAAACCGAGGAAGUACGAUGCAAAGCGGAACACAAGGCUUCAACUCCAGAAGAUGAUUCAAGUGACCCUGAGGAGAAUGGAAAAGCAGGAAGGAGAUCUCGCCGGUUCCAAUUUAUUAACUGCAGUGUGCAGAUAUUGUAAAAAAAUAAAUCAUUUUGAAUGGG
RNAcentral lists this long non-coding RNA (858 nucleotides) under Haliotis rubra (blacklip abalone). Its description in RNAcentral is "uncharacterized LOC124279064, transcript variant X2". The record is from RNAcentral. Lineage: Eukaryota; Metazoa; Mollusca; Gastropoda; Lepetellida; Haliotidae.